CAGGCUUAACACAUGCAAGUCGAGGGGCAGCAUGGUCUUAGCUUGCUAAGACUGAUGGCGACCGGCGCACGGGUGAGUAACACGUAUCCAACCUGCCGUCUACUCUUGGACAGCCUUCUGAAAGGAAGAUUAAUACAAGAUGGCAUCAUGAGUCCGCAUGUUCACAUGAUUAAAGGUAUUCCGGUAGACGAUGGGGAUGCGUUCCAUUAGAUAGUAGGCGGGGUAACGGCCCACCUAGUCUUCGAUGGAUAGGGGUUCUGAGAGGAAGGUCCCCCACAUUGGAACUGAGACACGGUCCAAACUCCUACGGGAGGCAGCAGUGAGGAAUAUUGGUCAAUGGGCGAGAGCCUGAACCAGCCAAGUAGCGUGAAGGAUGACUGCCCUAUGGGUUGUAAACUUCUUUUAUAAAGGAAUAAAGUGAGGCACGUGUGCCUUUUUGUAUGUACCGUAUGAAUAAGGAUCGGCUAACUCCGUGCCAGCAGCCGCGGUAAUACGGAGGAUCCGAGCGUUAUCCGGAUUUAUUGGGUUUAAAGGGAGCGUAGGCGGACGCUUAAGUCAGUUGUGAAAGUUUGCGGCUCAACCGUAAAAUUGCAGUUGAUACUGGGUGUCUUGAGUACAGUAGAGGCAGGCGGAAUUCGUGGUGUAGCGGUGAAAUGCUUAGAUAUCACGAAGAACUCCGAUUGCGAAGGCAGCUUGCUGGACUGUAACUGACGCUGAUGCUCGAAAGUGUGGGUAUCAAACAGGAUUAGAUACCCUGGUAGUCCACACAGUAAACGAUGAAUACUCGCUGUUUGCGAUAUACAGUAAGCGGCCAAGCGAAAGCGUUAAGUAUUCCACCUGGGGAGUACGCCGGCAACGGUGAAACUCAAAGGAGUUGACGGGGGCCCGCACAAGCGGAGGAACAUGUGGUUUAAUUCGAUGAUACGCGAGGAACCUUACCCGGGCUUGAAUUGCAACUGAAUGAUGUGGAGACAUGUCAGCCGCAAGGCAGUUGUGAAGGUGCUGCAUGGUUGUCGUCAGCUCGUGCCGUGAGGUGUCGGCUUAAGUGCCAUAACGAGCGCAACCCUUAUCGAUAGUUACCAUCAGGUUAUGCUGGGGACUCUGUCGAGACUGCCGUCGUAAGAUGUGAGGAAGGUGGGGAUGACGUCAAAUCAGCACGGCCCUUACGUCCGGGGCUACACACGUGUUACAAUGGGGGGUACAGAAGGCAGCUACACGGCGACGUGAUGCUAAUCCCGAAAGCCUCUCUCAGUUCGGAUUGGAGUCUGCAACCCGACUCCAUGAAGCUGGAUUCGCUAGUAAUCGCGCAUCAGCCACGGCGCGGUGAAUACGUUCCCGGGCCUUGUACACACCGCCCGUCAAGCCAUGAAAGCCGGGGGUACCUGAAGUGCGUAACCGCAAGAAGCGCCCUAGGGUAAAACUGGUGAUUGGGGCUAAGUCG
RNAcentral lists this ribosomal RNA (1441 nucleotides) under uncultured organism. RNAcentral describes it as "SSU rRNA". It matches the Rfam family "Bacterial small subunit ribosomal RNA". The record is from RNAcentral.